GAUGAACGCUAGCUACAGGCUUAACACAUGCAAGUCGAGGGGAAACGAUAUUGGAAGCUUGCUUCCGAUAGGCGUCGACCGGCGCACGGGUGAGUAACGCGUAUCCAACCUGCCCAUCACUUGGGGAUAACCUUGCGAAAGUAAGACUAAUACCCAAUGACGUCUCUAGAAGACAUCUGAAAGAGAUUAAAGAUUUAUCGGUGAUGGAUGGGGAUGCGUCUGAUUAGCUUGUUGGCGGGGUAACAGCCCACCAAGGCGACGAUCAGUAGGGGUUCUGGGAGGAAGGUCCCCCACAUUGGAACUGAGACACGGUCCAAACUCCUACGGGAGGCAGCGGUGAGGAAUAUUGGUCAAUGGACGAGAGUCUGAACCAGCCAAGUAGCGUGCAGGAUGACGGCCCUAUGGGUUGUAAACUGCUUUUAUAAGGGAAUAAAGUGAGAGUCGUGACUCUUUUUGCAUGUACCUUAUGAAUAAGGACCGGCUAAUUCCGUGCCAGCCGCCGCCGUAA
RNAcentral lists this ribosomal RNA (508 nucleotides) under uncultured bacterium. RNAcentral describes it as "partial 16S ribosomal RNA". It matches the Rfam family "Bacterial small subunit ribosomal RNA", at positions 28 to 523 of the family's 1533-position model. The record is from RNAcentral.